Long non-coding RNA from Triticum aestivum (bread wheat), 1019 nucleotides. RefSeq lists it as uncharacterized. The record is from RefSeq and is a predicted model, not a curated record. The transcript is spliced from 3 exons. Lineage: Eukaryota; Viridiplantae; Streptophyta; Magnoliopsida; Poales; Poaceae.
ACCACCCCUCCUCUAGGGGUCUCCAGGGUUGCGAAAAAAAAGCGGCGCCAGCAGGCUACGGGGAGGAGGGCAGCGCCCUGCCGACGAUUUAUCUGGCUACUUCCUCCCCGUCGAUCCCUGCCUGGACCAUACCGUCUCCAUCUUGAAGAAGGCUCGAUCUUUUCCGGCGUCAGAUUGAUGAGUUCGUGAUGUACGAAAAGAGAAUGCCUUAGAAAGACCGGUCAUACGAAAGAGCACUUAUUACUAUUGAAAUAUUAUGGUGACGAUGUUUAGCAGUCAUAAAAGAGAAGGUUCCAUGUUGCCAUGUUCUUUCUGAAGUUAAAUUGGCAUUACAAAAUUUGUGAUCAAUAGCUUUCAGAAGAAAAAGGUUGCUCAAGCUACUCUUCAUCAAGUUUGCACAUAUCACGGUAUAGUCAUCAACGACCACAAUCAUGAUGCGCUCAAGACAAUGUUCAGGAGUUACUCAACAACACAAUAGUGGAGCGGAACCGAUCACUACUUAGUGAUUUGGAAAGCAGAGUACUAUUACUUUACAGAGGGAGUACAUUGUGGUACUUUGAUUUUCUUUGCAAUAUUUAUUACAUAGAGAUAAUCUAGAGCACUCUGGAGGGGAACAAAUCGGUAUGGAAUACUGAUGCAUAUGCAUUUUCUGGUGCAACUUGCUUCUAGGAUGCGGCAACCAUUUGAGAAAAUUUUAUACUUCCUCUGUCCUUAAUUAUUUGUUAGAUAAAUGGAUGUGAUACGAUUUAUCUCCCAUUUCAAGAUAAUUUACCAAACCGUCGAGAGCCAGGACGUGCAUCCAGUAGCAACUUCAACAUUGUCUACGCAUCAAACAAACCACCUGAAUAAGAGCAAAAGAACCAGCUUCAUAUAUCUACCACUACAUUGUAGAGACACACCCAGCUGGAGGAUCAACAUCUCAGGUCUAGGAAGAGAACAAGAGCUUCACAAUUCUGCAUUCAAUAUCCACUAUCACUACGUGUUGUAGAUCACCUAUGCAUGUACCAACUAGAUGUACC